GCUUGAGGGCUGCUGCAGGGUUGCCAACUGAAGAAGAUAUAUUUUCUAUUUCACCUUAUUCAGAUGAUGAGGAAAAUGGUCCAUUGACGCUAAAGAAUGAAUUUAGACGUUCUCUGAAGCUCUCUCUCAAAGGGUUAGUUGAUAAGUCACCAAAAAAGAGCAAGGAACAUGGAAAGAAAUCUUCAAGUAAGAAAACUACCGAG
This 203-nucleotide unclassified non-coding RNA is filed under the name Hevea brasiliensis (rubber tree). Lineage: Eukaryota; Viridiplantae; Streptophyta; Magnoliopsida; Malpighiales; Euphorbiaceae. The record is from RNAcentral.